GGUUAAGCGACUAAGCGUACACGGUGGAUGCCCUGGCAGUCAGAGGCGAUGAAGGACGUGCUAAUCUGCGAUAAGCGUCGGUAAGGUGAUAUGAACCGUUAUAACCGGCGAUUUCCGAAUGGGGAAACCCAGUGUGUUUCGACACACUAUCAUUAACUGAAUCCAUAGGUUAAUGAGGCGAACCGGGGGAACUGAAACAUCUAAGUACCCCGAGGAAAAGAAAUCAACCGAGAUUCCCCCAGUAGCGGCGAGCGAACGGGGAGCAGCCCAGAGCCUGAAUCAGUGUGUGUGUUAGUGGAAGCGUCUGGAAAGGCGCGCGAUACAGGGUGACAGCCCCGUACACAAAAAUGCACAUGCUGUGAGCUCGAUGAGUAGGGCGGGACACGUGGUAUCCUGUCUGAAUAUGGGGGGACCAUCCUCCAAGGCUAAAUACUCCUGACUGACCGAUAGUGAACCAGUACCGUGAGGGAAAGGCGAAAAGAACCCCGGCGAGGGGAGUGAAAAAGAACCUGAAACCGUGUACGUACAAGCAGUGGGAGCACGCUUAGGCGUGUGACUGCGUACCUUUUGUAUAAUGGGUCAGCGACUUAUAUUCUGUAGCAAGGUUAACCGAAUAGGGGAGCCGAAGGGAAACCGAGUCUUAACUGGGCGUUAAGUUGCAGGGUAUAGACCCGAAACCCGGUGAUCUAGCCAUGGGCAGGUUGAAGGUUGGGUAACACUAACUGGAGGACCGAACCGACUAAUGUUGAAAAAUUAGCGGAUGACUUGUGGCUGGGGGUGAAAGGCCAAUCAAACCGGGAGAUAGCUGGUUCUCCCCGAAAGCUAUUUAGGUAGCGCCUCGUGAAUUCAUCUCCGGGGGUAGAGCACUGUUUCGGCAAGGGGGUCAUCCCGACUUACCAACCCGAUGCAAACUGCGAAUACCGGAGAAUGUUAUCACGGGAGACACACGGCGGGUGCUAACGUCCGUCGUGAAGAGGGAAACAACCCAGACCGCCAGCUAAGGUCCCAAAGUCAUGGUUAAGUGGGAAACGAUGUGGGAAGGCCCAGACAGCCAGGAUGUUGGCUUAGAAGCAGCCAUCAUUUAAAGAAAGCGUAAUAGCUCACUGGUCGAGUCGGCCUGCGCGGAAGAUGUAACGGGGCUAAACCAUGCACCGAAGCUGCGGCAGCGACGCUGAUGCGUUGUUGGGUAGGGGAGCGUUCUGUAAGCCUGCGAAGGUGUGCUGUGAGGCAUGCUGGAGGUAUCAGAAGUGCGAAUGCUGACAUAAGUAACGAUAAAGCGGGUGAAAAGCCCGCUCGCCGGAAGACCAAGGGUUCCUGUCCAACGUUAAUCGGGGCAGGGUGAGUCGACCCCUAAGGCGAGGCCGAAAGGCGUAGUCGAUGGGAAACAGGUUAAUAUUCCUGUACUUGGUGUUACUGCGAAGGGGGGACGGAGAAGGCUAUGUUGGCCGGGCGACGGUUGUCCCGGUUUAAGCGUGUAGGCUGGUUUUCCAGGCAAAUCCGGAAAAUCAAGGCUGAGGCGUGAUGACGAGGCACUACGGUGCUGAAGCAACAAAUGCCCUGCUUCCAGGAAAAGCCUCUAAGCAUCAGGUAACAUCAAAUCGUACCCCAAACCGACACAGGUGGUCAGGUAGAGAAUACCAAGGCGCUUGAGAGAACUCGGGUGAAGGAACUAGGCAAAAUGGUGCCGUAACUUCGGGAGAAGGCACGCUGAUAUGUAGGUGAGGUCCCUCGCGGAUGGAGCUGAAAUCAGUCGAAGAUACCAGCUGGCUGCAACUGUUUAUUAAAAACACAGCACUGUGCAAACACGAAAGUGGACGUAUACGGUGUGACGCCUGCCCGGUGCCGGAAGGUUAAUUGAUGGGGUUAGCGCAAGCGAAGCUCUUGAUCGAAGCCCCGGUAAACGGCGGCCGUAACUAUAACGGUCCUAAGGUAGCGAAAUUCCUUGUCGGGUAAGUUCCGACCUGCACGAAUGGCGUAAUGAUGGCCAGGCUGUCUCCACCCGAGACUCAGUGAAAUUGAACUCGCUGUGAAGAUGCAGUGUACCCGCGGCAAGACGGAAAGACCCCGUGAACCUUUACUAUAGCUUGACACUGAACAUUGAGCCUUGAUGUGUAGGAUAGGUGGGAGGCUUAGAAGUGUGGACGCCAGUCUGCAUGGAGCCGACCUUGAAAUACCACCCUUUAAUGUUUGAUGUUCUAACGUUGACCCGUAAUCCGGGUUGCGGACAGUGUCUGGUGGGUAGUUUGACUGGGGCGGUCUCCUCCUAAAGAGUAACGGAGGAGCACGAAGGUUGGCUAAUCCUGGUCGGACAUCAGGAGGUUAGUGCAAUGGCAUAAGCCAGCUUGACUGCGAGCGUGACGGCGCGAGCAGGUGCGAAAGCAGGUCAUAGUGAUCCGGUGGUUCUGAAUGGAAGGGCCAUCGCUCAACGGAUAAAAGGUACUCCGGGGAUAACAGGCUGAUACCGCCCAAGAGUUCAUAUCGACGGCGGUGUUUGGCACCUCGAUGUCGGCUCAUCACAUCCUGGGGCUGAAGUAGGUCCCAAGGGUAUGGCUGUUCGCCAUUUAAAGUGGUACGCGAGCUGGGUUUAGAACGUCGUGAGACAGUUCGGUCCCUAUCUGCCGUGGGCGCUGGAGAACUGAGGGGGGCUGCUCCUAGUACGAGAGGACCGGAGUGGACGCAUCACUGGUGUUCGGGUUGUCAUGCCAAUGGCACUGCCCGGUAGCUAAAUGCGGAAGAGAUAAGUGCUGAAAGCAUCUAAGCACGAAACUUGCCCCGAGAUGAGUUCUCCCUGACUCCUUGAGAGUCCUGAAGGAACGUUGAAGACGACGACGUUGAUAGGCCGGGUGUGUAAGCGCAGCGAUGCGUUGAGCUAACCGGUACUAAUGAACCGUGAGGCUUAACCUUACAACGCCGAAGCUGUUUUG
RNAcentral lists this ribosomal RNA (2924 nucleotides) under Escherichia coli. RNAcentral describes it as "Large Subunit Ribosomal RNA". It matches the Rfam family "Bacterial large subunit ribosomal RNA". The record is from RNAcentral. Lineage: Bacteria; Pseudomonadati; Pseudomonadota; Gammaproteobacteria; Enterobacterales; Enterobacteriaceae.